Culex quinquefasciatus (southern house mosquito) is the source of this 693-nucleotide long non-coding RNA. RefSeq lists it as uncharacterized. Lineage: Eukaryota; Metazoa; Arthropoda; Insecta; Diptera; Culicidae. The record is from RefSeq and is a predicted model, not a curated record. The transcript has 3 exons.
AUUUUUUUUUCGAUUCGUCGCGAAUCGCGGGUGCAGAACCGAGUUUCAUUACGAUUGUGUUUGUGUUUACUUUCAGUGAAAACAAAAAAUAUAUCGAGUGGUGUGAAAAAUUAUCAACAAUUUGUUGCAGGUGGAUAAAUUUGGCUAAGAAAACGGAGAGUCGGUACACCGAGAACGUUACCGAGCUAAACCUGAACAUCUUCCCGGACGAGGGCAACUGCAAGGAUGGCCGGUGUUGCUCAACUUAAAGAUAUGAAAUGAAUCUGAUCGCAAUCUGAAAAAGUCGCCUUUGGGCGAUGACGACAGCUGGCAUUGGACGAAGGCUUCGAUUAAGAAGAAGACGAUUACAUCUAGGACCAAGUGCAUCAACUUUUUGGGGCACCGGAGGUAAUUUUAUUGCUGUUUGGAAAGAAUUCGCGGGCGGCAUCCACCUGCGGAACGACUACGAAGAAGGAAGAAGAAUUUUAUGAUCAGAAUGCGGCCAUGUCAGCUGGAUGCAGAACUUUUGGUCAGUCGACAACGCAGACGGUUUUUGCCAGCACGAAGUCUGGAGCUCUUUUCUACGGCCAAACUCGAGCUGCAGUUUGAACUGUCCAGCGACAACAUAAAUGUUCUCCUGCCGCAUGUAUUUUCGAAAGCUCCGCAAAGUCGCUCGUAAUCAUAAUUACAAAAUACAGCGGCAGCCGAAGAAGU